UACGUAGGGGGCUAGCGUUGUCCGGAAUCAUUGGGCGUAAAGCGCGUGUAGGCGGUCCGGUAAGUCCGCUGUGAAAGUCGGGGGCUCAACCCUCGAAAGCCGGUGGAUACUGUCGGGCUAGAGUGCGGAAGAGGCGAGUGGAAUUCCUGGUGUAGCGGUGAAAUGCGCAGAUAUCAGGAGGAACACCAAUUGCGAAGGCAGCUCGCUGGGACGUUACUGACGCUGAGGCGCGGAAGCUAGGGGAGCAAACGGG
RNAcentral lists this ribosomal RNA (253 nucleotides) under uncultured bacterium. RNAcentral's name for it is "partial 16S ribosomal RNA". It matches the Rfam family "Bacterial small subunit ribosomal RNA", at positions 524 to 776 of the family's 1533-position model. The record is from RNAcentral.